CUCUUCAGGGCAGGGUGUAAUUCCCGACCGGCGGUAAAGUCCGCGAGCCGAUCUUCGGCAUGACCCGGUGCAACUCCGGGACCGACAGUACAGUCUGGAUGUGAGAAGGU
This 110-nucleotide non-coding RNA is filed under the name pig gut metagenome. RNAcentral describes it as "FMN riboswitch (RFN element)". It matches the Rfam family "FMN riboswitch aptamer (RFN element)". From Rfam's summary of the family: The RFN element is a highly conserved domain that is found frequently in the 5'-untranslated regions of prokaryotic mRNAs that encode for flavin mononucleotide (FMN) biosynthesis and transport proteins. This element is a metabolite-dependent riboswitch that directly binds FMN in the absence of proteins. In Bacillus subtilis, the riboswitch most likely controls gene expression by causing premature transcription termination within the 5' untranslated region of the ribDEAHT operon and precluding access to the ribosome-binding site of ypaA mRNA. The record is from RNAcentral.